UAUGUCAUUUAUGUAGAACCAGCAUGAUAUGGCAAUAAUUAUUUAGGAGAAAUACUUGGAUGCGAGAUCAUUGCAUAAGAUGCUAUUGGGCCUCUCUAAUAUAAGCAGCAGCACCUGAAGGAGUUUACUGGCAGCACCAAACACAGACGAACAUAAGAAGGAAGGAGGAAUAGAAUAGAAGUAAUCUUUUUGUUCCAUGGCACUCAACAGGAGCACUGCAACACAAUCGAUGAUCGUGUGCCCAAUGGUUGUUGUUUUAGUGGUGAUUGCUACCAUAUGUUUUACCCUACCUUGUUGCCAUGCUCGCACUGAAUCUACUAAAAAGGUGGUAUGCGAGGUGCUGCAUCCAUGUGUCGCUGACGCUGGAUGCAAAGCUAUCUGCGAGGGUAGUGGCAUGCGCUUCUUCUUUAACACCUGUGGGGGUGGCGAUUUUCCGGUGUGUUGCUGCAUACCUAUCUAAGGGAUCGGAGCGCUCUUCCGCCGUGUUGCUGCAUAUAUCAAUAUAAAAGUUAUUCGCGGUUCUCCGCCCGAGCUAAGCAAUUCUGAAUAAUUAUAUGCUUGUAAUGCUGCUACUUAUUUUUCCA
Molecule: long non-coding RNA, 584 nt
Organism: Hordeum vulgare subsp. vulgare (domesticated barley)
Lineage: Eukaryota; Viridiplantae; Streptophyta; Magnoliopsida; Poales; Poaceae
Exons: 2
Source: RefSeq, a predicted model, not a curated record